This 234-nucleotide ribosomal RNA is filed under the name uncultured bacterium. Its description in RNAcentral is "partial 16S ribosomal RNA". It matches the Rfam family "Bacterial small subunit ribosomal RNA", at positions 15 to 244 of the family's 1533-position model. The record is from RNAcentral.
GAUCCUGGCUCAGGACGAACGCUGGCGGCGCGCCUAACACAUGCAAGUCGAACGAGCGAGAGAGAGCUUGCUUUCUCAAGCGAGUGGUGAACGGGUGAGUAACGCGUGAGGAACCUGCCUCAAAGAGGUGGACAACAGUUGGAAACGACUGCUAAUACCGCAUAAGCCCACGACCCGGCAUCGGGUAGAGGGAAAAGGAGCAAUCCGCUUUGAGAUGGCCUCGCGUCCGAUUAG